UGUGAGCUCGAUGAGUAGGGCGGGACACGUGGUAUCCUGUCUGAAUAUGGGGGGACCAUCCUCCAAGGCUAAAUACUCCUGACUGACCGAUAGUGAACCAGUACCGUGAGGGAAAGGCGAAAAGAACCCCGGCGAGGGGAGUGAAAAAGAACCUGAAACCGUGUACGUACAAGCAGUGGGAGCCUCUUUAUGGGGUGACUGCGUACCUUUUGUAUAAUGGGUCAGCGACUUAUAUUCUGUAGCAAGGUUAACCGAAUAGGGGAGCCGAAGGGAAACCGAGUCUUAACUGGGCGUUAAGUUGCAGGGUAUAGACCCGAAACCCGGUGAUCUAGCCAUGGGCAGGUUGAAGGUUGGGUAACACUAACUGGAGGACCGAACCGACUAAUGUUGAAAAAUUAGCGGAUGACUUGUGGCUGGGGGUGAAAGGCCAAUCAAACCGGGAGAUAGCUGGUUCUCCCCGAAAGCUAUUUAGGUAGCGCCUCGUGAAUUCAUCUCCGGGGGUAGAGCACUGUUUCGGCAAGGGGGUCAUCCCGACUUACCAACCCGAUGCAAACUGCGAAUACCGGAGAAUGUUAUCACGGGAGACACACGGCGGGUGCUAACGUCCGUCGUGAAGAGGGAAACAACCCAGACCGCCAGCUAAGGUCCCAAAGUCAUGGUUAAGUGGGAAACGAUGUGGGAAGGCCCAGACAGCCAGGAUGUUGGCUUAGAAGCAGCCAUCAUUUAAAGAAAGCGUAAUAGCUCACUGGUCGAGUCGGCCUGCGCGGAAGAUGUAACGGGGCUAAACCAUGCACCGAAGCUGCGGCAGCGACGCUGAUGCGUUGUUGGGUAGGGGAGCGUUCUGUAAGCCUGCGAAGGUGUGCUGUGAGGCAUGCUGGAGGUAUCAGAAGUGCGAAUGCUGACAUAAGUAACGAUAAAGCGGGUGAAAAGCCCGCUCGCCGGAAGACCAAGGGUUCCUGUCCAACGUUAAUCGGGGCAGGGUGAGUCGACCCCUAAGGCGAGGCCGAAAGGCGUAGUCGAUGGGAAACAGGUUAAUAUUCCUGUACUUGGUGUUACUGCGAAGGGGGGACGGAGAAGGCUAUGUUGGCCGGGCGACGGUUGUCCCGGUUUAAGCGUGUAGGCUGGUUUUCCAGGCAAAUCCGGAAAAUCAAGGCUGAGGCGUGAUGACGAGGCACUACGGUGCUGAAGCAACAAAUGCCCUGCUUCCAGGAAAAGCCUCUAAGCAUCAGGUAACAUCAAAUCGUACCCCAAACCGACACAGGUGGUCAGGUAGAGAAUACCAAGGCGCUUGAGAGAACUCGGGUGAAGGAACUAGGCAAAAUGGUGCCGUAACUUCGGGAGAAGGCACGCUGAUAUGUAGGUGAAGCGACUUGCUCGUGGAGCUGAAAUCAGUCGAAGAUACCAGCUGGCUGCAACUGUUUAUUAAAAACACAGCACUGUGCAAACACGAAAGUGGACGUAUACGGUGUGACGCCUGCCCGGUGCCGGAAGGUUAAUUGAUGGGGUCAGCGCAAGCGAAGCUCUUGAUCGAAGCCCCGGUAAACGGCGGCCGUAACUAUAACGGUCCUAAGGUAGCGAAAUUCCUUGUCGGGUAAGUUCCGACCUGCACGAAUGGCGUAAUGAUGGCCAGGCUGUCUCCACCCGAGACUCAGUGAAAUUGAACUCGCUGUGAAGAUGCAGUGUACCCGCGGCAAGACGGAAAGACCCCGUGAACCUUUACUAUAGCUUGACACUGAACAUUGAGCCUUGAUGUGUAGGAUAGGUGGGAGGCUUUGAAGUGUGGACGCCAGUCUGCAUGGAGCCGGCCUUGAAAUACCACCCUUUAAUGUUUGAUGUUCUAACGUGGACCCGUGAUCCGGGUUGCGGACAGUGUCUGGUGGGUAGUUUGACUGGGGCGGUCUCCUCCUAAAGAGUAACGGAGGAGCACGAAGGUUGGCUAAUCCUGGUCGGACAUCAGGAGGUUAGUGCAAUGGCAUAAGCCAGCUUGACUGCGAGCGUGACGGCGCGAGCAGGUGCGAAAGCAGGUCAUAGUGAUCCGGUGGUUCUGAAUGGAAGGGCCAUCGCUCAACGGAUAAAAGGUACUCCGGGGAUAACAGGCUGAUACCGCCCAAGAGUUCAUAUCGACGGCGGUGUUUGGCACCUCGAUGUCGGCUCAUCACAUCCUGGGGCUGAAGUAGGUCCCAAGGGUAUGGCUGUUCGCCAUUUAAAGUGGUACGCGAGCUGGGUUUAGAACGUCGUGAGACAGUUCGGUCCCUAUCUGCCGUGGGCGCUGGAGAACUGAGGGGGGCUGCUCCUAGUACGAGAGGACCGGAGUGGACGCAUCACUGGUGUUCGGGUUGUCAUGCCAAUGGCACUGCCCGGUAGCUAAAUGCGGAAGAGAUAAGUGCUGAAAGCAUCUAAGCACGAAACUUGCCCCGAGAUGAGUUCUCCCUGACUCCUUGA
RNAcentral lists this ribosomal RNA (2442 nucleotides) under Escherichia coli. Its description in RNAcentral is "bacterial LSU rRNA". It matches the Rfam family "Bacterial large subunit ribosomal RNA", at positions 398 to 2826 of the family's 2925-position model. Lineage: Bacteria; Pseudomonadati; Pseudomonadota; Gammaproteobacteria; Enterobacterales; Enterobacteriaceae. The record is from RNAcentral.